AACUGUCUGACUGAUAUGAGGGUGUUUUUAUGUAUAGAAAGUAAGAUGUGGUUACAUAUCACAUUACAUCAUAUUAAUCGUAUGUUAUAACCUCUCUUCUCUUCUCUCUUACAGCUGUAAUCACCCAAGUCACUCAGCAGAAUCCAACAGAUCCUCCAAAAAAUGAGACAACAGCACGAACCAUAACUACAUUUACUACAUCUGUGAUUCCCACAUCCACAGGGGUUUUAAUCACUGAUUCUACAGGGACCAGGAAGAGAGAAAAAUCACCCGCAACAGGACUACUGUUAGUCACAGCAGUGUCAGUCACUGGUAUCAGUGUCUUUCUGGGUGGAGUGAUGAUUAUCGUGCUCUGCAGUUUUAUCAGUAAGUUCAUCAGCUUGUGAUGUACGCUGCUUUCAUACAGUAAAGAACAACAGAUCUUAUCAGCUUGCUUUGUCUAGUUUCACUGUAAACCUAUUGUGUGAAAAUAAUUGUGCAGUAUUUAGUAAACAUUAAUGUGAAUGUGUUUUAUUAUAGAGAAGCAGCAGAGCAGAAAAAGGUUGGAAACUUUUAGUUAAAUUAUGCAUGGUUAUAAUAUAGUCAUCUAAAUGAAUAAGGUCUGCAAUUAAAUGUGCCUUUUUUUAAGAAAAUGUUAAUUGUAUGUAUUUACCCUAACAGAUUUAAGGUCAACUCAAAAACUGGAGACCAAGGUAUGUUAAAUAUUUGAACACAGUACUGAUAAAAAUACAAAACUAUGUUAAUUUACAGUGAGUAAAGAUCAACUGAAACUGUUAUAUAUUUUUAGUAUGGAUGGCAGCCAUGGUCAGUGCUCCGGAAUCCAGUGCAGAAGCUCCUGGAACAUAUUCAGUGAUUUCUCCAGCAGACACAUCUUUCCAGCCAUCAGGAAAUACAACACCCAUUAAGAAUUGUGAUAAUUUUGAUCCACAGGCUGAGACAUACUCCGAGAUCACCCCAAUAGCAGCUCCACCUGAACGCUCAGGUUCCAGCAAAGCAAAAGAAAACUCAGGAUGUUCUGAGAGUGAUGUUUAUCACAUGUACUGCACCAUCCCUGACCUGCAUGUGACCCCCAUUCAGAAUGAUGCCGUCUACAGCCUGUUGCAGAAGCACUGAUCUAAUGUCUAAUGCAUUUCACACUAUUUAAACAAAUUCUUGUUAUAUAGUUAAUUCUUUGUGAAAUUAAUAUUGAAUAUACUAAUGUUCAUGUUAUUGUGCACUUGAUUCCUUUCACUUGUUUUUAAAUGCCUGUAAUACUGGGUUUUACCAUUAGAAAAAAAAUGUGUUUAUUACUGUUGUUAGUACUGUUAUUUAUGAUCUUUAUUGUACAAUGUUACCAUCAACCCUUACAUAACUUUUGCAUGAGUUUAAUAUAAUGUAAUAUAUAAAUACAAUACUGUUAUAUUGUAUGUAUCAUCUGGAAUAAAUCAUCUUACUUUCUGUGACUAAUAGUGGUU
This 1454-nucleotide long non-coding RNA is filed under the name Astyanax mexicanus (Mexican tetra). RNAcentral's name for it is "lncRNA (ENSAMXG00005009574.1)". The record is from RNAcentral. Lineage: Eukaryota; Metazoa; Chordata; Actinopteri; Characiformes; Acestrorhamphidae.